Molecule: long non-coding RNA, 1202 nt
Organism: Cyprinus carpio (common carp)
Lineage: Eukaryota; Metazoa; Chordata; Actinopteri; Cypriniformes; Cyprinidae
Source: Ensembl
AUGCAUCUCUCCGGGUCUUUCUGCUGCUCUUCGCCGCUGCUCUUCGCCGCUGCUUCUCAUCACGGCCUCCAAAACACGAUCAAACACCACAAAAACUCUUCUAAAGUCGACGUUCUUUGCUGGAGAGAUUCAGAUGUAAGCUUUGGAGAAAAUCCGCUCGCUGAUAGAUACCCGUGUAGCGCUGCUGCGCCGCUCUGAGUGCGCCGCGGGCGUAAAGACGAGAGCGCACGGACACACAGCAACUUUUGCGCUCGCUGAAUCUUCAAACUGAUUACGAAACGGUGCAAACUGUGAAUCACUGUAAACGUCCUUGUGAUUGGCUAACACUUCCAUCCAUCAAAACAUUGCUGGCUAGGCAUUGGCUAGCUUACAACAGCCAAAACUGAGGUGCGGUGAUUGGCACCUCGCUAAACCAGUCAGUGACUCCUGGCCUGUUCUGGGUUAUAACAUCGCCUGUGAUUGAAGGAGAGAGACGAGGGAGGGCUCAUUUUGCUCAGAAGAGACCAUUCUAUAGGAAACAAAAGCUGGAAUACGAAUUAGAAUCGAUAUUUCUUUGAAAAUGGACGCUAUCGACAACUAUAACUCGAAUCGCUCAUUUAAACAAAGGAGGAUCUUUCGUUUUUUCCCCUAUUUUUUCGUUGUUUUGGAUUAAAAAGUGGGAUGCAUCUUGAAGAGUAGACCCUUACCUUGAAAUGUGUGCUGGUGUUUCUUGGAAUAGUCUGAGCUGACCAGAACUAUAGGCGAUGAAACUUAAGUACAGCCAUGCACUUUGUAGGCUACAUGUUUAAAUGACCGGUCCUUCAGCAUUUAUGUUAACCCUUUCCUCUCUGGUGUACUCCUAUCUGGUGUAAGCUCAGAACAUGGAUAUUGAGUGUUUUAGCUUUCAAAUGAUAUAUAGUUUAUGAUAGUUAAUUGAAUAUUUUUCUAAAACAAAGGUUAUUAAAUUCACAGCCGCACCUAGACACGCCCUUCCGGCCUGCGGACGGGCCGAUGAAUAUCUCAAUAACAUUGUCUUUUCUCUUUUGCAGGAAUGGAACAAGGAUGGUUUUGGGGUGUUCUUCUUCAGGCAUUAUACCUCUCAUUAUGUUUGGGGGGUUAAUGUUUAAGCUCUUGUAUGUUCAAUUAAUUUGGGAGCAAGAACCCCCAUAAGGAAUCAUACCGCCAAAGAUAAAUAGUGUUCAAUAAAUUCAAGUAACUUGCCA